Molecule: ribosomal RNA, 164 nt
Filed under: uncultured bacterium
Lineage: Bacteria
Description: partial 16S rRNA
Rfam family: Bacterial small subunit ribosomal RNA
Source: RNAcentral
UAGGGAAUCUUCCACCAUGGGCGAAAGCCUGAUGGAGCAACGCCGCGUGUGUGAUGAAGGGUUUCGGCUCGUAAAACACUGUUGUAAGAGAAGAAUGACAUUGAGAGUAACUGUUCAAUGUGUGACGGUAUCUUACCAGAAAGGAACGGCUAAAUACGUGCCAG